GCGGAGCCGGGGCGGGAGGUGGGGAGGAACCGAAGCAGGGUACCGACCGGGUAACGGCCCGGGGUGGCACGUGGAGGUGGCGCCCAUAGGUUCGGCUCAGCCAGGGUUUUGCCUCCCACUCGAGAGGAAUCGAUUUUUUUCAAAAAGAUGUGCAAGAUUUCCAAUAAAUAGCAUCCUCGGAUGGAGAAGAGGAAUGACUCCCUCACCCUGACACACGCACCCACGCCAACCCACUGCUCAGAAGAGGCUUUUCUUUCUUAGGCGGCGGCGCACUGUUACCAUUCCAGGCUUGUGUGGGAGAUUGUUGUUCGCCUAUGUCUGUCCGCUUGGGCGGCUCCAGCCCCUGGUUAAUAAAAGGUACAGAUGGUUAGAACACAAA
Molecule: long non-coding RNA, 379 nt
Organism: Peromyscus eremicus (cactus mouse)
Lineage: Eukaryota; Metazoa; Chordata; Mammalia; Rodentia; Cricetidae
Exons: 2
Source: RefSeq, a predicted model, not a curated record